This 108-nucleotide ribosomal RNA is filed under the name Planctomycetota bacterium. Lineage: Bacteria; Pseudomonadati; Planctomycetota. The record is from RNAcentral.
CCCGGUGACCAUAGAGUCCUGGUCAUACCCGUUCCCAUCCCGAACACGGUCGUCAAGCAGUACUCGCCGAUGAUACCGCAUAAGCGGGAAAGUAGGUCGUUGCCGGGU